RNAcentral lists this non-coding RNA (271 nucleotides) under Pseudonocardia sp. RNAcentral also lists the same sequence under 1 other name. Lineage: Bacteria; Bacillati; Actinomycetota; Actinomycetes; Pseudonocardiales; Pseudonocardiaceae. The record is from RNAcentral.
AGUGUCCGCGGCGCUGGUGGUUCACCGGCCCGCCCGGGUCGGUGAGGCAAGAGGGAACCCGGUGCGAAUCCGGGACUGCCCCGCAGCGGUGAACGGGAACGACCGCCGUCACGAGCACUGGGAGACCCUCCCGGGAAGCGACGGCCAGUAGGCCGGGCGCCUGCGGCACUCGUGAGUGGAAAAGUCGGCUCAGGCCGCGAUAACCACUCACGGGCGCCGAAGGCGCCCGAUACCCGUGAGUCCGAAGACCUGCCACCGGUGCGCGCACCGC